GAUGAACGCUGGCGGCGUGCCUAAUACAUGCAAGUCGAGCGAACGGACGAGAAGCUUGCUUCUCUGAUGUUAGCGGCGGGCGGGAGAGUAACACGUGGAUCACCUACCUAUAAGACUGGGAUAACUUCGGGAAACCGGAGCUAAUACGGGAUAAUUUUUUGAACCGCAUGGUUCAAAAGUGAAAGACGGUUUUGCUGUCACUUAUAGAUGGAUCCGCGCUGCAUUAGCUAGUUGGUAAGGUAACGGCUUACCAAGGCAACGAUGCAUAGCCGACCUGAGAGGGUGAUCGGCCACACUGGAACUGGGACACGGUCCAGACCCCUACGGGAGGCGCAGGUAGGGAAUCUUCCGCAAUGGGCGAAAGCCUGACGGAGCAACGCCGCGUGAGUGAUGAAGGUCUUCGGAUCGUAAGACUCUGUUAUUAGGGAAGAACAUAUGCGUAAGUAACUGUGCACAUCUUGACGGUACCUAAUCAGAAAGCCACGGCUAACUACGUG
This 497-nucleotide ribosomal RNA is filed under the name uncultured bacterium. RNAcentral's name for it is "partial 16S ribosomal RNA". It matches the Rfam family "Bacterial small subunit ribosomal RNA", at positions 28 to 507 of the family's 1533-position model. The record is from RNAcentral.